ACCUACGUAAUAACGUUUUUGUAGUAAAAAUACUGUAGUUAGUAAUUUUGGCAAAAUUGGCCAAAAACAAAAAAAUUACCUACUAAAAUCACUAGCCAGUUGUGUCUAGGGAAACGACUAUACUAAUAAACAAUUUCUAAGCUGCUUUGUAUAAUAUUUUGUGAGUUCAUUAAUCAUAUUUUUUAUUUAAAACUAAAAUUUGUUAAUAAUGCUCAGUAAUGCAUAUAUUUUGUAUUUUUAGCUUUCCAGAAGAUCCUGCGAAGAAGGCAUGAAGUAUUGAUCAGAUUUGUUAAUAGAGCAGUAUGUUCAAAACAUUUUUUAGAAAAAGAUAUUGACAGAACUUCACUUUCAACUGUUCGUUUGAGAGACUGUGCUGUUCCAAUAGCUUAUAUCACACAGAAACAGCUGAGAGAAGUGGUCUACAAAAAACCAGGAAGGAAAUGGAAUACGUGGCUAUGAAAGGCAAAAGAAAGGUUUACAAAGCAAAUGUGACACAUUUUUUUAUAGGAAUAUCAGUAAACUACAUUAAAAAAAUGUAUGAAAAGAUUUUUUGCAAUAAAAAUGUUUAUAUUUA
This is a long non-coding RNA of Diabrotica virgifera virgifera (western corn rootworm), 574 nucleotides long. RefSeq lists it as uncharacterized. Lineage: Eukaryota; Metazoa; Arthropoda; Insecta; Coleoptera; Chrysomelidae. The transcript has 2 exons. The record is from RefSeq and is a predicted model, not a curated record.